Molecule: non-coding RNA, 79 nt
Organism: Brachypodium distachyon (stiff brome)
Lineage: Eukaryota; Viridiplantae; Streptophyta; Magnoliopsida; Poales; Poaceae
Source: Rfam
CGGCGAUGAGGAACGAAACCUGUGCCGGAGGCGGAUGCGCCGGUGUUGGCAACACAACCCUCUAAGAAGUUCUGAGCCA